CUGAUCUGAAGUGAUCUGCCCACCUCGGCUUCCCAAAGUGCUGGGAUUACAGGCGUGAGCCACUGCGCCUGGCCCCUUCAGGUGGGUAUUGAGGCUUCACUACAAUACUAGUUCCCCGUUGCUGCCGCAAUAAAUUACCACACACUUAGUGGCUUAAAACAGCACAGAGGUAUUCCUUUACAUUUCUGAAGGCCAGAAUUCUAAAGUCAGUCCCACUGAGUCAACGUGGGAGCAGGGUCAGUGCCUUCCCAGGCUCUGCGGGAGAAUCUGUUUCCUGGCCCUGGAGGCGGCCUGUACUCCUCAGCUUGUGCUGCCCUUCUCGAAUGACUCGCGUUUCCUGCUUUCAUCACUACACCUCCCACCGCUCUCCAUCACCUGCUCUGCUCUUAUAAGGAUCCAGUUUUCAGAAAAAUGGAAUAGUCGUAUCACUGAUCUACGUAAACAAGUUGAAGAAUUGUCUGAAAGAAAAUACAGUGUGUCUAAACUGGAAAAGUCCUGUAAUAGUUUGUUCAUGAGCAUUUACACAAUGGAGUUGCUGUUUCAUCAUGGGGGUACUGUGGACAAACCCAGGGCUGCUGACAUGAACUUAUGAAUUCAACACAUGAAGAUUUACAGCUUGACAAACCAGCUUCAGGAGGGAUUGUGCUGCAUUCGAACAUAGGUUCUGCCAUCAAACACAGAAUGCCCUGAUCCUUAGAGGCAGAGGCAGCUCUUCAGCCUAUGGGGGAGGCAGACCAGUUUUACAAAUAGCUGCUGGCCUGGAGAAUAACAGUUUCUACCAAGUGAGUGGUUAAAAAAGGCAGCCUGGAAAAAUAACUGUGGGAUGGAAUCCUGACUACUCUGUGUCUGAUGACUGGAACUUACCGAGCGCUGCUUAGUUGCAUCAUAGACACCACCUGUCUUUGAACAGCUACCCUGCCUCUUGAUGAGAAUGCAAAGGCUGCCAGGGGCCACUGCUGUAUGGAGUGGAUUUCGGUCAUUUCUGCUUAGAGCACAGAGCUCAAGCUGUUGGACUCGCCGAGGCAGUAAAAGUACCAUAUCCUGUGUUUGAAUCAAACUCCAAUUUCCUGUAUAUAGAAGGCUUGCCAGACAGGAUUCCCUUCCGAAGCCCUACCUGGUUUGGAAUUCCAUGACUUGAAAGGAUCCUUCGUGGGAGUAAUAAAAUCAAGUUUGUUGUUAAAAACUUUGCAGUCCCCAAAAAAACCAUGAAGCCCUGAGAGUAAUGAAAAGCUUCCUGACAUUGAGGUCACUGUGGAAGAUCAGAGGAUCAGAGAUCUCUCCUCUACACGAGGUGCCAUCCUUUCCUGAAGGAGCUCCUUGUAAAGUGCAUGAGGUGUUCCUUUUGGUAAAAAGACACACUGCGCAACCACAGAGACCUGAGCCUGAACCUAUAAAGAUUUGAACAAGAUCAGCGGCAACAUCAGAUUCUCGUGAGCACGAACCCUGUUGUGAACUGUGCAUGCAAGGGAUCUACCUUGCUCUGUCCUUAGGAGAAUCUAAUGCCUGAUGAUCUG
RNAcentral lists this long non-coding RNA (1514 nucleotides) under Homo sapiens (human). RNAcentral's name for it is "HSALNT0341361". The record is from RNAcentral. Lineage: Eukaryota; Metazoa; Chordata; Mammalia; Primates; Hominidae.